AAAUUGAAGAGUUUGAUCAUGGCUCAGAUUGAACGCUGGCGGCAGGCCUAACACAUGCAAGUCGAGCGGUAGCACAGAGAGCUUGCUCUCGGGUGACGAGCGGCGGACGGGUGAGUAAUGUCUGGGAAACUGCCUGAUGGAGGGGGAUAACUACUGGAAACGGUAGCUAAUACCGCAUAACGUCGCAAGACCAAAGUGGGGGACCUUCGGGCCUCAUGCCAUCAGAUGUGCCCAGAUGGGAUUAGCUAGUAGGUGGGGUAAUGGCUCACCUAGGCGACGAUCCCUAGCUGGUCUGAGAGGAUGACCAGCCACACUGGAACUGAGACACGGUCCAGACUCCUACGGGAGGCAGCAGUGGGGAAUAUUGCACAAUGGGCGCAAGCCUGAUGCAGCCAUGCCGCGUGUGUGAAGAAGGCCUUCGGGUUGUAAAGCACUUUCAGCGGGGAGGAAGGCGAUAAGGUUAAUAACCUUGUCGAUUGACGUUACCCGCAGAAGAAGCACCGGCUAACUCCGUGCCAGCAGCCGCGGUAAUACGGAGGGUGCAAGCGUUAAUCGGAAUUACUGGGCGUAAAGCGCACGCAGGCGGUCUGUCAAGUCGGAUGUGAAAUCCCCGGGCUCAACCUGGGAACUGCAUUCGAAACUGGCAGGCUAGAGUCUUGUAGAGGGGGGUAGAAUUCCAGGUGUAGCGGUGAAAUGCGUAGAGAUCUGGAGGAAUACCGGUGGCGAAGGCGGCCCCCUGGACAAAGACUGACGCUCAGGUGCGAAAGCGUGGGGAGCAAACAGGAUUAGAUACCCUGGUAGUCCACGCCGUAAACGAUGUCGAUUUGGAGGUUGUGCCCUUGAGGCGUGGCUUCCGGAGCUAACGCGUUAAAUCGACCGCACGGGGAGUACGGCCGCAAGGUUAAAACUCAAAUGAAUUGACGGGGGCCCGCACAAGCGGUGGAGCAUGUGGUUUAAUUCGAUGCAACGCGAAGAACCUUACCUGGUCUUGACAUCCACAGAACUUUCCAGAGAUGGAUUGGUGCCUUCGGGAACUGUGAGACAGGUGCUGCAUGGCUGUCGUCAGCUCGUGUUGUGAAAUGUUGGGUUAAGUCCCGCAACGAGCGCAACCCUUAUCCUUUGUUGCCAGCGGUCCGGCCGGGAACUCAAAGGAGACUGCCAGUGAUAAACUGGAGGAAGGUGGGGAUGACGUCAAGUCAUCAUGGCCCUUACGACCGUGGCUACACACGUGCUACAAUGGCAUAUACAAAGAGAAGCGACCUCGCGAGAGCAAGCGGACCUCAUAAAGUAUGUCGUAGUCCGGAUUGGAGUCUGCAACUCGACUCCAUGAAGUCGGAAUCGCUAGUAAUCGUAGAUCAGAAUGCUACGGUGAAUACGUUCCCGGGCCUUGUACACACCGCCCGUCACACCAUGGGAGUGGGUUGCAAAAGAAGUAGGUAGCUUAACCUUCGGGAGGGCGCUUACCACUUUGUGAUUCAUGACUGGGGUGAAGUCGUAACAAGGUAACCGUAGGGGAACCUGCGGUUGGAUCACCUCCUUACCUUAAAGAA
This 1550-nucleotide ribosomal RNA is filed under the name Klebsiella pneumoniae. Its description in RNAcentral is "bacterial SSU rRNA". It matches the Rfam family "Bacterial small subunit ribosomal RNA". The record is from RNAcentral. Lineage: Bacteria; Pseudomonadati; Pseudomonadota; Gammaproteobacteria; Enterobacterales; Enterobacteriaceae.